RNAcentral lists this ribosomal RNA (324 nucleotides) under Triticum aestivum (bread wheat). Its description in RNAcentral is "partial small subunit ribosomal RNA". The record is from RNAcentral. Lineage: Eukaryota; Viridiplantae; Streptophyta; Magnoliopsida; Poales; Poaceae.
AUGGACUACCAUAUGGUUGACGGUAUCUAUCCUUCUUGGGAAACCUUUGUCAAGACCAUCGUUGAGCCACUUGGUCAAAAAAGGUCUCACUUUGCCCAAAAACAAGAAGCAGCUAGAAAAGAUGUCGAGAGGGCAUCUGAAGUUAUCCGGACCCGUUUUGCAGUUGUUCAUGGACCUGCUCAACAAUGGGAUCCGGAGACCUUGUGGGAGGUGAUGACAUGUUGUGUGAUCAUGCACAACAUAAUCGUGGAGGAUAAGGGUGAGUAUGCUGCCUCAGCUCUUAAAUUUGAGAACAUGUGUGAUUCUAUCGAACUUCCGGAAUAG